This 826-nucleotide ribosomal RNA is filed under the name uncultured bacterium. Its description in RNAcentral is "bacterial SSU rRNA". It matches the Rfam family "Bacterial small subunit ribosomal RNA", at positions 67 to 942 of the family's 1533-position model. The record is from RNAcentral.
CGCUCUAGCAAUAGAGAGUGGCGCACGGGUGAGUAACGCGUGGGAAUGUACCGUUUAGUGGGGGAUAACCAAGGGAAACUUUGGCUAAUACCGCAUACGCCCUUCGGGGGAAAGAUUUAUCGCUAAACGAUCAGCCCGCGUGAGAUUAGGUAGUUGGUGGGGUAAUGGCCUACCAAGCCGACGAUCUCUAGCUGGUCUGAGAGGAUGAUCAGCCACACUGGAACUGAGACACGGUCCAGACUCCUACGGGAGGCAGCAGUGGGGAAUAUUGGACAAUGGGGGCAACCCUGAUCCAGCCAUGCCGCGUGAGUGAUGAAGGCCUUAGGGUUGUAAGCUCUUUUACCGAUGAAGAUAAUGACGGUAGUCGGAGAAAAAGCCCCGGCUAACUUCGUGCCAGCAGCCGCGGUAAUACGAAGGGGGCUAGCGUUGUUCGGAUUUACUGGGCGUAAAGCGUGCGUAGGUGGUCUCGUAAGUCAGUGGUGAAAUCCCGGAGCUUAACUCCGGAACUGCCAUUGAAACUGCGAGGCUUGAAUCUCAAAGGGGGUGGCGGAAUUCCUAAUGUAGGGGUGAAAUCCGUAGAUAUUAGGAGGAACACCGAUGGCGAAGGCAGCCACCUGGGUGAGUAUUGACACUGAGGCACGAGAGCGUGGGGAUCAAACAGGAUUAGAUACCCUGGUAGUCCACGCCAUAAACGAUGAAUGCUAGUUGUUGGGGGCUUCGCCCUCAGUGACGACGCUAACGCAUUAAGCAUUCCGCCUGGGGAGUACGGUCGCAAGAUUAAAACCCAAAGAAAUUGACGGGGACCCGCACAAGCGGNGGANCAUGU